UCCUAAUAAAGAUAUUUGAGGGAAAGGCACUAACUUGGGAGGCAACUAUAAAGGAAGCACAACUACUUAAGACAGAUGAAAAUUGUUAGAGAUUCUACCAUCACUGCAAUUCCUUUUGUAGGGCUGAGCAGUGCAGAAACAAACCAUUUCAUUUCCUUCCAACGCAAAAGAACCACCACUUCUUUCACAUUCUUUGCAACUAUUUCCACUCCAUGUCAACUGGUGCAGCAACAUGAGACUGACAAGGCGUUACAGUAGAGUUGAUCUCAAUUUUUCCAUCUUCUAUAACAGCAUAAGAGUGGUACGGAUCAUCGGAAGCACAAAGCGAUGGGGUGCUGCCUAUAUUCAACUCAACAGGAAAGGAGCUGUUUCAAUCGUUAAACAAGCAGAGAUUGGCAAAAUUGUGGCCAAAUUUGACUGAAGACCGAUCAAAAGCAAAAAGUUCCCGGGGAGCAAUACAUGCAGCAUUCAGAACUUCAGCAUUCACCAACCGGAUGGAUUGGUUUUGGUAGGUGGCACUCAAGAACGUACUCACUUCGAGAUGUUAAAUAAACAGGUUUGUUUCCUUUUCAGGAUAACUCAAACCCUGGAUAACCACAACAAUCUGGAUAAUUUUCUUCUAUGAUCUGGACAGUGUAGCUUAUCUGUGGACCAUUUUCACAAUUUCUAGA
Molecule: long non-coding RNA, 671 nt
Organism: Coffea eugenioides
Lineage: Eukaryota; Viridiplantae; Streptophyta; Magnoliopsida; Gentianales; Rubiaceae
Exons: 2
Source: RefSeq, a predicted model, not a curated record